This 236-nucleotide ribosomal RNA is filed under the name uncultured bacterium. Its description in RNAcentral is "partial 16S ribosomal RNA". It matches the Rfam family "Bacterial small subunit ribosomal RNA", at positions 83 to 334 of the family's 1533-position model. The record is from RNAcentral.
UUUUUAACUCAAGUGGCGGACGGGUGAGUAACACGUAAGAAUUUGCCUUUAGGAGGGGGAUAACAACUGGAAACGGUUGCUAAUACCCCAUAUGCUUUCGAGUGAAACGGAUUUAUCCGCCUAAAGAGAAGCUUGCGGCUGAUUAGCUUGUUGGUGAGGUAAUGGCUUACCAAGGCGACGAUCAGUAUCUGGUUUGAGAGGACGAUCAGACACACUGGAACUGAGACACGGUCCAG